CAGCCGCCGCGGUAAUACGUAGGUGGCAAGCGUUGUCCGGAAUUAUUGGGCGUAAGGGGCUCGCAGGCGGUUUCUUAAGUCUGAUGUGAAAGCCCCCGGCUCAACCGGGGAGGGUCAUUGGAAACUGGGAAACUUGAGUGCAGAAGAGGAGAGUGGAAUUCCACGUGUAGCGGUGAAAUGCGUAGAGAUAUGGAGGAACACCAGUGGCGAAGGCGACUUUCUGGUCUGUAACUGACGCUGAUGUGCGAAAGCGUGGGGAUCAAACAGGAUUAGAUACCCGCGUAGUCCCUGUCUCUUAUAC
Molecule: ribosomal RNA, 301 nt
Filed under: uncultured bacterium
Lineage: Bacteria
Description: partial 16S ribosomal RNA
Rfam family: Bacterial small subunit ribosomal RNA
Source: RNAcentral